Molecule: ribosomal RNA, 201 nt
Filed under: uncultured bacterium
Lineage: Bacteria
Description: partial 16S ribosomal RNA
Rfam family: Bacterial small subunit ribosomal RNA
Source: RNAcentral
UACGUAGGGUGCAAGCGUUGUCCGGAAUUAUUGGGCGUAAAGAGCUCGUAGGUGGCCUGUCGCGUCGGCUGUGAAAACUCGGGGCUCAACUCCGAGCUUGCAGUCGAUACGGGCAGGCUAGAGUUCGGCAGGGGAGACUGGAAUUCCUGGUGUAGCGGUGAAAUGCGCAGAUAUCAGGAGGAACACCGGUGGCGAAGGCGG